Brassica napus (rape) is the source of this 7388-nucleotide long non-coding RNA. RefSeq lists it as uncharacterized. Lineage: Eukaryota; Viridiplantae; Streptophyta; Magnoliopsida; Brassicales; Brassicaceae. The transcript has 2 exons. The record is from RefSeq and is a predicted model, not a curated record.
ACUAUCUUUAAGGAAGAGGAGAGGACUGAUUCCGAAAAUCCGCUCUUUGCCUCCGUUGUGAUGAAUAGAGAGAGCGAAUUGAAGGUUUCACAGUUCUUCUUCUGAGGGUUACAGCAGUUCCUGCUCUACCAGUUUUACCACGAGAGGUUGCUUCUGAAAGAGAGGCUGAAUUGGGGGUAUUUUUCCUUGAGGGAGAGGGUUGGGACUUUGUGAUUUUUCUUCUUCUCGCUCCAACUCCCAAGAAGCUGAGGGGGGAUGCUACAAUAUUUCUUCUGCCCGGGGGUCUUCCUGGCUUUCGCUUGGUAGCUGCAGCUUGUGGAACAGGUGAGGGUAUCAUAGGUUCUUCCUCAUCCUCUAGAAUUGGACCAAGACGCAACAUUGCUGGCACUCGAGGUGAGGUAUGAGCUGGGCUCAAGUUAACAGUGAUGUAUUCACUCUCAGGUACCAUUGGUCUUUGAUUUUCCUUGAUCAUAUUUGCUGCAGUUUCCUCUACUUCUCCUGAUUCUUCAGCAUGUCUAAACCAUUCUUUUAUGGCUGCACUUUCGUUUGGAUCAGGGCAGUUUGUGUAACGAAACAUAGCUUCACGCACUUCUGAUAUGGCUUCAGUUAAAGCUUCAUUCGGUACUUCAAAAUUCGGAGGAUUCAGAGGGGGAAGUGAUGACUCUGUUCCUUCGAUAUGCAUUUGAUUCUCUUCUCUGUCAGUCCUGGGGUUUGGCGGUUUCUCAAUCCAGACUGAUCUAGAAGGUCCACUUUUAUGGGUGGAAGGGGAGUGAGAUCUGUUGGACCUGCUUGGAUCAGGUCUUCUAUAUUCCCUUUAAUGACCAGAGGUAGCUAAUUCUAGCACACGAGGGCUGUAGUAGUUUGACCGGUCACUGCAAGAGUAGGGGAGUACCGGUGGUUUACUCCGUCUGAUUGGUGAUCUCUUUCCAUGCUCAGCAGGGUGUGAGGGAUGUUGUCUAGCAUAUCUUCUUUCAUCAUCUCUUGUAUGGUGAUCAAAUUGGUACUCUCCUCUGGUUUGGGUUCUCUGGUUAGAGUGGGAAUUGUUGUGGGUUCGAGAGAUUGGUUGGUUUGACUUAUAUCUAUUCUCUUGAUGGGAGUGGGGCAAGCGCUCCGUCCUUUUCUCCAGCUCUGAUACAUAAGGGCCGUUGUCCACGGCGAGAGGACAGUCUUGGGCUUCAUGGUCGAGCAUACCACAAGAGGUGCAGUGUCUUUCAAGCUUUUCAUAGACAAGUGUGACCAUUGCUUCCUCCCCUGAGUCAAAAUCAAGAGUAGCCGUCUUGAUAAGGGGUUUAAGACCAUCAAUAAGUACUCUCAUACGAGUUUUAGUUGCAGUGAUUUCUACUGACUCUCUGAUACCAAUAUUGUCCGCUAGGUUAGGGACACAUCUGACCAGAGGUGGAGAGGUAUACCCUGGACUUGGAUCCAGAACGGUAUUAGGUUUGGGAAUGUGGGGGCGCUUGAAAGUUCCCAGCGUUGCAAUAUUAUCAUCCAACGGGCAAAGUGAUAGGGUCUAUUUUCUAGGACUUUCAGGAGGUCUCUUUCAGAAGCAAAUUGGAACUGGAAGCAACCUUAACCUAGUUCUGCGCCCACAGGAGUGACUUCGACUUUCCAGUGUUCCAUAAAGAAAGGUAUGAGAGACCACAACUUCUGGACCUUUGGGUUUGUGACUCUUCCUACCAGUGUGAGAGCGUGCUUCUUUAUGAGUUCAGAGUUAUCCACAGCCGGGAUUUUGAUUCUAGUGGCUCUUAGAGGUUUCGGGGGAGCAGCCAACCCUUUUCCUUUCUCAGUAUACGAGAGUCUUCUACUCAUGGUUCUUAGGUUAUGGUGAAGGAGGCUUGAGGCGUAGUGGUUUGACAGGGAGAAGGCUCAUUGGGUACAAUCUGGGGUUUGCGUUUUCUGGAGGCUAGCUUAAGGUGAGUAGUCAGUCUUCUACGAGGUGAGUGGACAAAGAAUCGAAGAGCUCUCGAAUUUGAGUAGCAGGGAGAUCUCCGAAGCACAGAGUAAACCUUUACAAGUUUUAGAUUCAAGAGAUAAGGUCCAGUAACCACUGGGUAAUAAGAGUUUGUAGAGGGCAGCUACGGUCUUCAGUUUUGGCUCCAAAUCAGAGCGGCUUCUUCAUGUAACUGGUGAUGCAUCCUCCUUGUAGCUUCAGCUUCCCGGUCCGGCGGUUUUGUGCGGCAACGGCGGUCCUUCUGACCCCGGUCGGGGGAAGAACCCAGUGGGUUUUGCUGCAAAGUAGGGUAUUAUCCAGCAGAUACUUCUUUAACAAGGAACAAUUUGAAAAAAGUUCGUCGAAAGCAGGUGUAGCAGGUCCCAAACAGGAAAAUAGUACCCCGGGUAAAGGAGGGUGGCCCCUCACUCAGAAAGUCAAAGACCUUUCUCGCUUACAGUGCCUGAGAGCGUUUUUUCCGCUUUUGAAUUUUUAAAAAUAUCUAUAUAAACUCACAUUUGUAUACUUGUUAUUUGGAAAACUCCAGAAUUUUAAUAUUAAAAAAUUGGUUAAGAACAACAAGCAUAUGCUAAAACUGCACCACUGUCUCCUUAAAACCCGUAUUUACACCAGCAAUUUUCCUCUCUACACCUUUCAAUCUCGACGAUAUCUCUGCAGUUUUCUCUCACAAACACGACAGUGACGAUGAAGCUUCUACCGCCUUCAUUGAUUCCUUACCAUCAUGAUUCUAUAAAAUGGAGUUUUGUAAGCACUAUUUUUUGUUGUUGCAGUGAUAUGUAGUGACUGAAUCAACUGCAGUUGAAACACGUUACAUCAUGUUCUUAAAUAUAUGAUUGAUUCUUUAUAUAAUUCAUAUGGUUAAUCAAUUCCAUUUUUAAGGGUCGAUGGCGAGUGGACUAAAUGAUAAAAAUAUAUGCUUCAUCCCGAAGAUAACUAAGCCGACCAGAUGUCUCAGUUCUGCCCAUUAGCUUGUGUAAUGUUAGCUACAAUUUAUUCUCUAAGGUCUUAUGCCAGAGAUUAAAGAAAGUUAUACUAGACAUAAUUUCAGAAAUUCAGUAUGCCUUUUGUUUUGGAAGACAGAUUUCAGACAAUAUUAUGAUUGCCAAGGAAAUGUUUCAUGCUCUGAGAACUAAACUAAGUGGACGCAAUAAAAUGAUGGCCAUUAAGACAAAUAUAAGUAAAGCGUAUGAUAGGAUGGAGUGGUCGUCCAUCGAAGUAAUUAUGCGGAAGAUGGGAUUUUUGGAAACUUGGAUUGACUGGAUAAUGCGUUGUAUCACUUCGGUUAAGUACAAGGUGCUUAUGAAUGGUCAAACAAGGGGAAAUAUUGUUCCAGAGAGAGGUCUACAUCAAGGAGAUCCUUUGUCUCCUUUCAUUUUUAUCCUAUGCACAGAAGCACUCGUUAGCCUUCUUAAUCAUGCAGAGAACCAAUGGAAAAUAACGGGGAUGCGUGUUACACACGCAUGUCCAUCGGUAUCCCACCUUCUCUUUGCUGAUGAUAGCCUUUGCUGAUGAUAGCCUUUUCUUCUGUAAGGCGGAUCCCCAUGAAUGUGAAGAAGUGAUGAAAGGAGUCAGGAAAUAUGGACAAGCAUCAUGCCAAUGUAUCAACUUUGAGAAAUCCUCUCUACUCUUUGGUAAGAGGAUCAGCGCAAAUGUUAGACAGCAGAUUAAAAAAUACACUUGGAAUCCAGAACAAAGGAGGAAUGAGGACAUACUUAGGAAUUCCAGAAGAUAUUAGCGGAUCCAAAUGCAAACUCCUUGCAUUUUGCAUUUCUCAAGGAAAAAUUAAUGAAUAGAGUGAGUGGAUGGACAUGCAUAUGGCUUUCAAAAGGAGGAAAAGUAGUUUUGAUUAAAUCUAUCUUGCUAAUUCUUCCGACAUAUGUUAUGUCUGUCUUCUUUCUCCCGCUGGAGAUAUUUUAAAAUCCCGCAAGUGCCAUUACACAAUUCUGGUGGAGCUCAAUCCACCAAAGAGAGGAAUUCACUGGGCAAAAUGGGAAAAGCUCUGUUUACCAAGAGAGGAGGGCGGGAUUGGUUUCCGUAUGAUCCAUGAGUUCAACCUGGAUUUACUAGCAAAACAACUAUGUAGACUAGUUCAAUACCCUGAUUCGUUAGUGGCUCGAGUAUUGAGGGGAAGAUACUACAGAAUGAGUUCGCCUUUACGAACAAUCUCUGUAAGCAGCACAUCCUAUAUGUGCACCAGUAUUUCAGUGGCACGAAAACUGCUGCUAUUGGGGAUCAGACAGAAGAUACACUCUGGAUAUGAGGUUAAGGUGUGAGAGGACCCAUGGAUCCCUACUACACCAGCUAGGCCGGCUCGUCCUUCUGUCCAUGUAUUACACCCAAACAUGAGAGUUAGUGACAUUAAUCGAGAAUCAAAGGAAUUGGAUGUUUGACUACUGGAGGAUUAUGUUGCACCUGCUGAUAUACCUCUCAUAUGGAGUUUGGCCAUAAGCUCAACUUAUCGCCAUGAUACAUUCUGCUAGAACUAGACUAGUAAUGCCCAGUACACGAUUAAAUCUGGAUACUGGGUAGCUCGGAACUUAUUGAGGACCGAGGAAGAGGUAUUGGAGCCUAGUAUAACCAAGCUCCAAGCCUUUGCUUGGAAACUAAAAGCACCUCAGAAGAUUUGUCAUCUUAUGUGGCAACUGAUAUCAUGACAUUUGGCUGUAACGAGAAACCUGAACCGCCGUAAUAUGAAAUGCGAUAAUUACUGCCCAAGAUGUGGAGAACCAGAAGAAACUGUUACUCAUACCAUAUUUGAAUGCCCUCCAGCUCUGCAAGUAUGGUCUCUAUCAGCAACACCAUCUAGCCUCAACAUUUUCUCGUUACCAAGUAUUUAUGCCAAUAUGGAUUACCUCUUAUGGACAAAGAAUAGCAUUGUUGAACCUGAACUGGACAUGGAUCCUUAUCCUGGAUAAUCUGGUAUAUAUGGAAAGCUCAUAAUGAUAAACUCUUUAGGGGGAUUGACAUGGAUCCUUUGGAGCUAGUUCGAUAUGUAGAAAGUGAAUGCCAAGCCUGGCUUAAUGCAAUUGAGAUGGUCAUUCCCAUUCCAAAAGAGCAUAUUAGCGAGGAACUCCAGGUCAUAAGCCUGGAUAAUAUUUGUAUGGUGGAUGGUUCAUGGACUUCCACAGCACAGUUCAGUGGUUGUGGUUGGGUUUGGAAGGAUAGUGUUGGAAAGAUUCAGCUCAUGGGAACGCGAAACUUAAGGAGGCGAGAGUCUGCUUUACAUUCAGAAGUAGAAGCAUUGCAAAGAGCAAUGAAGAGCAUGAUACCAACAUUUGUCAUGUCAGCACUUUGGGACAGACUGCAAGGAUCUGAUCUCCAUGAUAAAGGAGCCUCAAGCUUGGCCAAAUUUUGCAAUAGAAUUGGAGGCUAUAAAUACACUGCAUAUAUGUUUUCCAGACUUCGAGAUAUCUCAUAUUCCAAGGGAACAUAAUGAAAUUUCAGAUUCUUUAGUAAAGAUUGUGAGAUCUUUUCAUAGAGAGCUUUGUUACAUUAGUUGUUCUAUUCCGGUCUGGUUAUCCAAACGAACUCAAGUUUGACUAAUAGAAUAGCCGUUCGUAGUGAAAAAAAAAAUACUCUAAAACUUAAACAGAAAUCCCACCCAAAUCUCUUUUUUUUCUUUUUCUAAAUCCCAACCAUACAAUUUUUUUCUUUUUCUAGAUCCCAACCAUGCAAAUUAGAUUUAGUCCAAAUCUCUUUGAAUUCCAUUUUUCCUCAAAUCCAUGCAAUCCUUUAGAAUCCAAAUCCUUUAAAAUUCACAGUUCAGUACACCCCAAUAAUGUUUUAUUUUUCUUAAUACAAGGUGAUUUUAAGAAAUUCAUCAUAAAACGAUAACUUUAAAAAUAUAGCUUUAAGCAAUAAUUUUAUUAAAUUUAAACACCACUUGUCAUGAUCUCCGUAUUUGUAGGAACGAGAAAUCAAUUUUCCAACCAUUGACUUUGCAAUAAUAUAUCAAUAGCGUAUUGGCGUGUAUAAUUUAAAUCCCCUAUAUAUUAUUCGAGUAUCUUUUAAAAAAUGGUAACAUUAAUUUUGUAUUGAUUACGAAAUGAUAUUUGUUUAUGUGUCAUUUUCAUAUCUAUACUAUUAAAACAGAAGAACAUUUUUUUGAGGUGCCCUUCUGUUUUGAAUAUAUUUACAGAUCUCUGCCACUAGAUUAUUUAAAUCUAUGCUUUUAAUUAAAUAUUUAGAAUCUUUUUCUUUUUAGUUUAAUUAAUUGGGAAAUUGCAGUAGAUAACUAUGAAAACUUAUUUAAUUAGGUAUAUAACAAUGACACUGUUUCUUUUUUCAAAAUACCCAUUAUAUCCAUAUUUCUUUGUCUGUCAACAUGUAGUUUAGUAACCGGAAGACCUGCAUCUUGACAAAUAUAUUUUUAUUUUUAAUAAUAUUAACAGAAAUUAAAAGAAAAAAACAAAAACAAAAUCUUUCCAACGCUUUAUUCGUUAUUCUCUCUCUCUUUCUAUCUCUCACUGAUUUGAUCUUCUUCUUAUUUUCAGUUAAAAUUUUAAUUAAUCAUAUCAUUUCGUUCCAGGUUUCUUUGACUUUGAUAAUGAAAAGAACACAAAACUGAUCCCCAAAUCCCCAGAAAAUUUCUGACUAACAAAAUUGAUAAACUAUUCAACAAAUCCUUUCUUCUUCUCUGCUUCUUCUUCACCACAACGUCCUUCAUCCACCGAGUCACCACCAGCCAACUCUCCCGAAUUCGAGCCCAACUCAUUGAGUCGACUCGGUACGAGCGAGUUUACUCAAAAGGAUGAUUUUUCUGACCGCUUCCUCCGGUUUUUCCAGGGCCGGCCCCGAGAUUUCGGGGGCCUUAGGCGAUAUUCGUAAAGAUUUCAUUGAAAAAAAAAAUUAAAAAAAAUUUGGGGACCUUUUUAAAAAAUUUGGGGGCCUAUAUUUACGUAGUUUUUUUCAAAAAAUUUGGGGGUCCUAGGCGAAUUUCAUCCGGCUUUGCUCAGGACCGGCCCUGGUUCUUUCUUCCUCUUUUUCAUCUCCAAGCUGUCUUCGAAGGCGCCAAUGAUCUCGUGAAGGAGUUUGCUAAUCCUACCAAACCCAGUAACUCGUGUAGCAUCUGAAGCAAUCACAGAGAUGGAGAGGAGAGUGAUGAUAAUCUUCUUUGGGUUUUUCUUUCUUAAAGCGAGAUAUACGAUUUGGGUCACGGGUACGGGAGAUAAGAACAAGUGAAUAUUGGCACAACAAGACAACAACAUUGCUUUAACUUUCUCCUAAGACAAGGAUUGCUUAUUGGACAAGACCGUUGAUGACAGAGGCAAGGCCAUCGUACAUGUGUACACCCUUCUACUCAAUCCUUAAUUAUGGUUCACUAAAGUUAAUAAUUGCAAUAAGUAGUAAAGAACACUGUCUUUGUAUCGACUAGUUCUUCAUUAUGUAUCUAUUUGCUCAUGUCUUCUAUUGAAUGAAAUUGUGUUGAUUGGUUCCA